Diprion similis is the source of this 218-nucleotide long non-coding RNA. RefSeq lists it as uncharacterized. The transcript is spliced from 2 exons. Lineage: Eukaryota; Metazoa; Arthropoda; Insecta; Hymenoptera; Diprionidae. The record is from RefSeq and is a predicted model, not a curated record.
AAUUUACACGUUUAGUAUAUUUGCUUAUUGUCCGGGUACCUAGCCUGGUAUUUAUAGAGGAUUUUCUUAAGGAUAAUGAGCGGAUAUUUUACUACAAAAAAAAAAUGACAAUUUUGUACACAGCAUGCUUUACAGACAAGAAUAUACAUACGAUGUUGGGAAACAUCAUUAGGGAACUACAAAAUUGUACCAGAAGAAUUUUCUAAUCAUUCACGUAC